This 7645-nucleotide long non-coding RNA is filed under the name Elaeis guineensis (African oil palm). RNAcentral's name for it is "long non-coding RNA (EGUI_LNC000776)". Lineage: Eukaryota; Viridiplantae; Streptophyta; Magnoliopsida; Arecales; Arecaceae. The record is from RNAcentral.
AGGGUAUUUAUGAGACCAAAUCUGUGAUAUAUGUCUUCAUAUGUUUGUACGUACACUCAAGUAUUAUCAUAUAUACAGUAAGAAAUCACAAUAGGGGAUAAGGUACAUGUUGAAAGAUUGCAUCUUUUCCUGGAAUAUUAGUCCUCUUUGAGUAUUUAGAAGACUACAUGCAUUAUAGUUAAUCAAAGCUUCAAAGUUGCUGUGUCAAGUGAGGAUGCUGAUUGACCGAGUGGGUAAAUUCUUUUGUUUUACACAAGAGACCUUGGUUCGGCCCUGCCCUCACUUCAGUACUUGGCUGCAACAAGUCAAGUAUGCAAUAAGUAAUGAAACGUUAAAACUAGAAAACUACACCAACAGUAAGUCUUCUUUUUGUUCAAGAAAAGAAUAAUUUCUACCAAACAAUAUUGCAUCAGACCUCAAUGUUAAGUUUUUUGAGAUAGUGAACACAGUUUCCAAGAAAAAGAAUCAGAAAAAAAAACAUGUUCUACACCUGCAUCUCCAACUUAUUAAGAUUUUCUAGUUAAUAUUAUGAUGAGAAUUUUUUUUUUUUUUUUUCUUUUUUUUUUUUGAGGUGGGGGAGUUUGGUAGUAGAAUAAUGCUCUAUUAUUAUUUUCCAAACCACUAGCUAGCAUGUUUAUUUUUAUUGCUAGUGGAGAAGCAAGGGGUUAUAUGCAAGAGCAAACAUCCUGGAGCAUCAGUCAGGUAUGUUUGUCUGUAUGCAACAAUUGUGUGUGUUUCAUACUCCCUUAUCCUUAAAAAAUGGAACAAAAAAAAAGAAUAAACAAUUGUGGUUGAACUGAUAUCAAGAAUAAUAGCAAUACUCUCAAAGAAAUACAAUAGAAAUCCAAGAUGAUUGCAUCGUAGGGGCGCAUAUACAAUAUAUGUGAUGGAAAAGUAAAGACAUGUUCAUGAUCAGAGAUUUCAUCACUAGGGAUCCACCAAUCAUAAGGAACAAUACUUCGAGAACCUUGAUGGGAGAAAUCCUAUUUGAGGGAACAUUAAUCAACACUUCAAUAAAGAUCAGAAACCUCAUCAAUUCUGAGCCACUACAUGAACAGGAUGAUCAAUUCAGAGAAUGGGAUCGAAGAUCGUUAUGGGUGACCAAAUAUCAUGAGUUCUCACAGGGCCCAAAUUAACAAGGAAAUAAAGUGGGGGAGCUGGCCACAUAAAUGGGCCUCCCAUUGAAAAGCAGCCAUUUUAUGGACUUACUACAUGCUUAGUCAAAAGGAGAGGCACAUGUGCAAGGGGACAAUAAGGAAGCUGCUAGUUUCCAGCAGUCCAAGCCUCGCAAUGAGGUUAAAAGAUCAGAUCUUUCAUAAUCUAGUUAAAGAGCAAUAUAUGAAGAUAUGGCCACUAUCAAAGCCAUUACAACAAGACAUCGCAGAAAAGGUCCACAAUCUUGGUAUCGGAGACCGUACUAGUCAGGUAGGUACUAGUAAGGUAUGGUAUUGAGUCAAACAGUACAAGCACUCAUUACACAAAUCCAUACCAGUUCGAUAUUGGUUCACUAUUUUUUACCUUUUUUGUUUUCUCAAUUUUUUGAUUUUUGAGAUUAUUUUAAGGUUUAUGAUCUUUAAAAUAUUAUUUUAAGUGUGUUUUAAUAUUAUUUUAUUUCAUAUUGGUCUCUAGAGACUGUAUGAUUGUCUAAUGGAUAUAACUGUAGGACUUAAACAUAGGUUUGUAAUAAUUAGAUAUAGGCAACAGAUUUUUUUGAGCUUGCAAAUGCAUAUAUCAAGUUUAUGUGAAUUACAAAAUACAUACUAACAUCUAGUCCCUCAUAAAGUAUCUAAAUCACUUGUAGGUAUAGAUUGUUCAUAGUCAAGAUCUUGGACAUGACUCCAAUGCAGUCCAACCCAACAUCCAAUAAUCUAAGCCUCCUGGAUAGCUACUUUGAUAUAGAUCCUUUGUCUGAUACUGCAUAACCAUCCUACUCCUAAGGAAAAAUCACAGCAACAAUAUCUGAUCCAAAAUCUAACUAAGACUGUGGAGGAUGGUCGCCACUCGAAUAUAAUGCCUAAGAUCCAUAAUUCGACCCCUAACUCCACAACAUAUCAUGAAAUCAUGCCACAUUACAGAAUUUUCUGCUUUUAUCAGUUUUUCACCUAUUUUAGAUAUGAAAAAAAGAGAGAAAAGGAAUGAAGAGGAGGGAGAGGAUUAUACCUAAUUAGACUUGGAUUUGAUCUCAAAAUCAACGAAUCCCUCUUUUCUGAUUUUUACUUACAAAACCCACCAUUGGAAGCUAUCUUUUUGAAGAAAAGAGUAUGGUCUUCUCCACUCUUAUAACCAGCGUGGCCAGAACUACCUUGAACCGAGCAGUACUGGGCAAUUCUGCUUAAUUUUGGGUGGUUCAGACUGGUUCAGGCCAAUUACCAACUUGAAUCCACACCAAUUCAGGUUGAUAUAUCCCAAACCGGAUGGUUUGGGUCAGUUUGGCAGAUCACGAUCACAAGGAAAUGAAAGCCUCCCCUCGUAGGAAUCAACCAUGACAUCAAUUAUGGUGAUUGGCAAAUUGGCAAUCCACUAGACAUAUCUAACAUGUCUCUUGCAACAACUAUUAAGGUCUGAUGAACAUAUUAGGAUGCCAAAGAAGAUAGGUAAUUAGGAAAAAAGAGACCAAAGGGGUAAAAAAAGUCAAGCUAUCUAGUGGAUCAUAUUGAGACAUGAUAGCAUUCUCCAACUCCCAUUUUGCCUUGAUUGGAAAGACAUUUUCAGAACGUGAAUUGGGAAAGGCUUGAUCAUUCAGAUUAACUAGACCCACAAAGAAUAUAUGAACUGUAGCACAUUGUUCCUAAAUUUUCAUUAAUAAGGAUUAAUCGACUGAGUGCCAACCAACUUCUGCUUUUGAACUUCGAGAUGCUCAAGUUUAAACAUCAACAGGGUAUCCAAAAGCUUGGACUCAGUAAUACUGUACCAAAUCAUUUUGUUGGGUAUUGACAAGCAAAGAGAACCAUCCAAAUGGAGGAUGACAUAAAACAACUUGUAUAUUUUCGUAUCCAUUAGCCUUAUAUCCAAUCCAUUAGCCCAAAUGGGACGUAAAUGAGAGUGGCCAAGAGAUUAGACACCUAGCCAACUUUAUUUCAUAAAGUUUAGACCUGGGAGAAGGCAACAAUAAAACUAAAGACAUGAAUCCUGUAAUGAUCCAGGUCCCAAUAACGAUUAAAAAAAAAAUAGUUCAUUUUUGUUGAUGAUACUUGGACAAGCCACUGUUAACCUAGCAUCUACCUUGCCAAUAUCAAAGCUUAGGAAACUACUAGAACUGUUAUAUACACAACACUUAAUAUUUAGAAAUUUUGAUUUUAGAAACAUGCAUCUUUGUUUUCAGAAUACUUAGAAAUUUUGAUUUUAGAAAACUGUAUCUCUAUUUUCAGUUUAAAUGGAAUGCCUAGAUGCCUUAAGAUACUAAUGUUACCAUCAAUUCUUUUUUUGAAGAAACAAUCAACAAGAUUUGUUCAUCAUGCUUGCGUCAAUGUAUGUCGUCACUGUCUUCACUGGCAUAAACAACUGCUCGUCAGUUUUAUCAUUUGUUGCAACUGAGCGCAUCGUUCUGUACCGAGAAAUUUCAGCAGGAAUCUAUCCUCCAUGGGCCUACUCAAUUGCACAGGUUUACCAGCCAUACUUGUGCAUAGAUCAGCAUCUCCUAUCAUAUCUAUAUAGAAGGAUAAUUUUCUCCUGAACUUGGACCAAGUAACCUUUUUAUAUUAUUUUCUUUCAGGUGGUCAUUGAGAUCCCUUAUGUACUCCUUCAGGUAGUAUUAUUUAUGAUCAUAGCAUAUCCAGCAAUCGGCUAUUACUGCACAGCAUACAAAUUCUUCUGGUUUGCUUACACCAUGUUCUGCACAUUGCUCUACUACACAUACCUUGGAAUGUUGCUCGUUUCAUUGACACCAAACGUUCAAGUGGCUACUGUGUUGUCAUCUUUCUGCUACACCUUGCUAAAUCUCUUCUCAGGAUUCAUAGCACCAGGUCCAGUAAGUUAGCCUCUCCUAUUUCCUUAUGACCUAUAGACAUUAUAUAAGAACUAUAAUAGCUCCAUCUAAUGGUAUUGUGUAUUACAUAGAAUGAUACCUCUGAUGCAGACAAAUCAGAAGUACACUUGCAUCAUAUUUUGCCAUCCAUAUGUUCCAUGCCAGUAUUAGGUACUGUGAUAGAGAAUCAAAAAGAUAGAAGGCUCAAACCCAAGGGCAACAAGCAAAGAGAUGCUUUUGUUCAUUUAUAAAUUGACUACUGGGAUUGCAUGCAAUGGUCUUUCAACUUUGCAACCCUUCAAGAUCCAAUGACAUCAUGCAUUUAAAGACAUGCUUUUAUAUACAUGUCUGCAUUAGAAAGCCAUGUGAUAUUCAGCUGUGUAAUACAGAAUUCUUAAAUUCAUAGAAUAAAUUCAUUUUUAUAGCAACUUAUAUUUGUUACAUAAAACUGACCGAUGUUCACUUCCUGGCAGCAAAUUCCAAAGUGGUGGAUAUGGGUAUAUUACAGCAGCCCCAUGUCCUGGACACUGAAUGGCCUCUUCACUUCACAAUAUGGAGAUAUAGACAAGCAGAUAAUGGUAUUUGGAGAAACAAAGCCACUUGCUUCCUUCUUGAAAGAUUAUUUUGGGUUCCACCAUGAUCGUUUAGGACUGGUGGCUGUUAUGCUUAUUGCCUUCCCUCUCAUGUAUGCUAUACUUUUUGCUUAUUUUAUAGGAACACUGAAUUUCCAAAGGAGGUAAAAAGGAAAAACCUUACGGUAUAGUUGUAAAGAUUUAUCUGCACUUUAACAUGAUUGGUUAUCAUAGAAAGAUUUAUAUUUUAGAAUAGGCAAUAUGUUUCUGCAAGACUUGAUAAUAUGCCAUGACUAUAAUCUUGUUUGCAGAGAAUCUCCAAACUAAGUUUGGUUAUCCGUGCACCUUGGACAGACAUGCAGUAAACGAAGAUAAAUGAUUUUUUUAAGGAGGAAUUAAGCCUACAACAAUUGUAGCAGAGAGAACUAAUUCACUCCUUUCCCUAAUAAAUCUCUCAGCCAUAUAAUUUUGUGGAGAUUGUUCCACAUUUUGGGGAAAAAAAUCUUGUCCAUACCGGUCCCAUGAUACUUCCAUCUCCUGCUUUCCUAAAGCCCUCCUUUUUCCUCUUUACUCCUCUUUUAUGUUCUUGACGUUGUAUCUUCAGAAAAUAAUAUCAACUGCCUUACUGCCACCUUAUCAAAAUCUUCUUACAUCUCAAUGGCACAAGAUUGCCACCUAUCAAUUUAACUCAUGCAGCCUCCUCCAAUUCCUUAGAAAGCAUUUUUAUCCUUCAUUACCAAAAGACAAAAUGGUAAACAUAACAAGAUAUAGUCCUUUCUAUACUAUCGUUGCUGCCAAUAAACCAUGCACAAACAAUAUCCCUUUGAUCUUCAUAUGUUAAGAAUACUAGAUAAGCACAUAAUAUGCACCAAAAACAAUGAUUCAUUCUAGCACUACAAGAUACACAUCCGAUGUGAUAGUUUCAAGCUAAUGAGUGCUAAUUGUUCAUAUAAGGAUCACCUGAGAGGCAAAAAAGAUUGGGUUUCUUUUCACUCCAAUAAGCUGUCAAACAACACGUUUUAAUGAAACAAAGAAUGCUGUCCAUUUGAAGCCUACAGGAACUUUAUCAUAAAUAAAUAAAAUAAGAGAGUAGAUGAAACAGGAAAUUAAUCUUGCCUUAGCAAUCAAGAACCAACUUUUCCGUCAGAUGCUUAGAAAUUGCAGAUGCAUCACUCAACUGACUGUUUGUGGCAAGCAAUUAGUUUCUGAACAAAGGAUAGAUGAAUCACCAAUAUCUUACUGGCUGAAGAGAACACCAAGAGGCAGAGGUCGCUCUAGGGGCGUGUGUACAGAGGUGCGGAGAGUGGAGAUGCAUUGGGCCAUGAUGGCCAAGGAGUUCAAAGCAGUUCAUCUCAGCAUGUACGGUGCACAUGAGACGAAGCACAGCUCGAUACAGUCUCCCAUCCAGUCUGAAAAUUUAGAAAAAAAACAGUUUUCCUGUCAUUUAUGUUACUUGAUAAAUAGACUGACACUUUAAACUCAUGAACUUCUAUCGGUUUUCUUCUUAGACUCCCUCAAAUCAAUUCAUUGACGAUGUGGAUAGGUGCUUAACCACAAGCAACAGGCCUUAUCCAGCAUAACAGGAGUCAGCAUUAUGGAUCUUAUUUAGCCAUUUAUUUCUAGCAAUCUGGACCAACCAUUUUAUGCAAACAUCUCCAAUCCUUCCUCAACAUUUUGUGCAACACUUCCACUCUGUUAAGCAGUAUUACGCAUACACCAUCCAUUCCUCGGCCUUAUAUCCCAAUCAAUAGUCAUUGCAGCAAUGAUCCCUCUGUACACUCCUGAAAAAAUCAAAACAACAUGAUUGUUACCUCUUUCCAGGACACUGAGAACCAAAUUUCGUUGGAUCAUAGCAUUGGCUGUUCAAGGGGUUGACAGAUCCUCACUUUAACAGGCGCUCGCUUGUUGGUAAAGCACUAUCUUGUCCAUGUCCAGCCUCACAAUGUUCCCAUCUCCGGCAACCCUAAAGCUAUCUUGGUUUACCACCUUGUUAAACUCUACUUAUCGCGAUGGCAUGAUACAGUUAUCUCUGUUCUCACCUUCAAUAUUUAUAUUUGCAAAACAUAACAUUCUUCUAUCAAUAUGAUGAUACCGACAAACGAUACACAACCGUGUCCUUGAGUUAGAAAUCACGUAAAGAAGGAGUGUUUCUAAGCUAAUUCAAGUUCCUAAACCAGAGUAGGUCAAAUUCAAAUGGCGUUUUCUUUUUCGUUUACUCCAGAGGACUAUGCAAAAAUAUGCGUUUCAUGGUAAAUAAAGAAGAAAGUAAAUGGACAAGAGAAUUGAUAUGGUUUGAGUGAUCAAAAAGAAACCUUUUCGAAGGAACUGGGAGAUUACCAAACCAUUGCUCUCUAGGGUUUAUGUAGACCGGAUGGGCCAUUCGUCCUCUCAGAGCCAGGCGACGGACUGACUGUGGGGCCGAGAACAAGGAGACCAAAACCGCCCUGGAAUCAGGACCCGGAUCAGGAUCGCUCCAAUCCGCCGCGAGAUGAAGCAUCUCCAUGGGCGGUGAUCCAGGAAAUAUUAUUGGUUGAACCAGGUCCACCGCGCCAUUCUUGGACCAGGUCGAUGAGCAUAGAGGGAAAAAUAUCUCUGAUUUCAUCGAUGGGUGCGAGAAAAACGCCGAUGGAAAAAAAAAAAAAUCACCCCAUAGUUUUGGUCUUCGCUGGUUUAUUCCGGAGGUCGAGCUCCGCUUCCACUGGUCGGACUCGUUCAGUCGGGCAUGGAGUUUAGAGUAAUUCAAAGAAACUUUAAAUUGCUUCCGUAUUUUGGUUUAUGAAUAAAAAGAAGAGAUGAAAAGAGGAAAAAGAAUAGAGAAAUAAAGAAACAAGAUGUCUGAGGCAAGAAAAGCCGAAGGAAUUAGUGGAAGAAAGUUGUGGAGGGUUAAGGAAGUUUGGAUCAAGAAGAGGAGAAGAAGGUGAGAGCUAGAGAGAGAAGGUAGAGGAAGAAGCAAGAAAGGAAAUCUGGUGAAGAAAGAAGGAAGCGGAGAAAGGAAAAUUCUUGGAAGGGUAUAUAGUAGCUUCGCUAGAAUUUGGUCCGGAGCACGACCUAUUUUGCGAUUUUCCUCGCGUGCGUCUCUGGAACGUAGAUGGAUAUAUAGGAGGAAAAG